GAUGAACGCUAGCGGGAGGCCUAACACAUGCAAGCCGAGCGGUAUUUGUCUGUCGGGACAGAGAGAGCGGCGUACGGGUGCGGAACACGUGUGCAACCUGCCUUUAUCAGGGGGAUAGCCUUUCGAAAGGAAGAUUAAUACCCCAUAAUAUAUUGAAUGGCAUCAUUUGAUAUUGAAAACUCCGGUGGAUAGAGAUGGGCACGCGCAAGAUUAGAUAGUUGGUAGGGUAACGGCCUACCAAGUCAGUGAUCUUUAGGGGGCCUGAGAGGGUGAUCCCCCACACGGCUACCGGGACACGGACCAGACUCCUACUGGAGGCAGCAGUGAGGAAUAUUGGACAAUGGGUGAGAGCCUGUUCCAGCCAUCCCGCGUGAAGGACGACGGCCCUAUGGGUUGUAAACUUCUUUUGUAUAGGGAUAAACCUAGAUACGUGUAUCUAGCUGAAGGUACUAUACGAAUAAGCACCGGCUAACUCCGUGCCAGCAGCCGCUGUAA
Molecule: ribosomal RNA, 495 nt
Filed under: uncultured bacterium
Lineage: Bacteria
Description: partial 16S ribosomal RNA
Rfam family: Bacterial small subunit ribosomal RNA
Source: RNAcentral